UUCACUUAUAAAGGAUUAGAAAAGAUUAAACUAGAGUCAAUACUCAUAUUUUACAAGUUAGCAUUUCAAUGCUAUAUAAAGCGGCAACUAUAGCCGAAAACCUUCUUUUGGCGAUAUCUUUGCGUAGGUUCGUCGGAUUGCCGAACCGACUUCGCCAACGCGUUUCUUUUACCCUCAAUUUGGUUUACACGUGGUCAAUUUCGCAUUAGCACUCUUAUUUUGCAAAAGUGCAUUGCCGCGGUCAGGGGAGAAAUUUCACAAUUUCAAAGAAAUUUCACAAUUCAAUUCCCUCUUUUCUUUCAUUUUUCCUCUUCUUCUUUCUUUUCUCUCUUUCUCUUUUCUUUCUUUCUUGCUUUCUUUUCUUUUCUUUCCUUUCUUUUCUUUUCCUUUUCUUUCUUUCUUUCUUUUCUUCCUUUCUUUCCUUUCUUCCUUUCUUUCUUUUCUUUUCUUUCCUUGCUCGCUGCUGCGCUGCUGCUGCUGCUGCUGCUGCUGCUGCUGCUGCUGCUGCUAACUGCUGCUGAGGCUGCUGCUGCUGU
This 536-nucleotide long non-coding RNA is filed under the name Ananas comosus (pineapple). RNAcentral describes it as "long non-coding RNA (ACOM_LNC012282)". The record is from RNAcentral. Lineage: Eukaryota; Viridiplantae; Streptophyta; Magnoliopsida; Poales; Bromeliaceae.